This 667-nucleotide long non-coding RNA is filed under the name Homo sapiens (human). RNAcentral describes it as "HSALNT0340800". Lineage: Eukaryota; Metazoa; Chordata; Mammalia; Primates; Hominidae. The record is from RNAcentral.
GAAACACCUAAGGACUUUUAAACCUCAAAGAUGAGGGUGGGAACAACAGAGAAGAACCUAUUAUUGGGCCACCUAUCAAGCAAAAAGAAAAUACAGCAAUACAAGGUCUCCAGAUUUGCCACCCAUGCUGAGUGCCGUGGUGUGAUCAUGGCUUAUUUCAACCUCAACCUCCCCCACUCAAGCGAUCCUCCUGCCUCAGCCUCUGGAGUAGCUGGGACUACAGGCACGCACCACCACACCCAGCCAUAAUUUGCCUCUUGCUGUAACUAAAAGGUCACAAAAACAAAGAAUUCUAAAAAAUCUUCUUCUUAAGUGUGCCUCACUACCACAAAUUAUGCAGUCAAGUCUCCCAUAUUUGGGGACAUCGCAGGGGUCAGCAUGUCCAGAGUGCAAUGGAUAAGCCUUGCCCUGGGAAAACCACCUUCGUGAUCAUGGUUAUCUCCCCUGCCAGAAUGAAGAUAACACCGAAAGUGACAAUGUCAAGUCAGACCCAUAGGACUCAGAGAUUUUACUCAAUAGCAACAUUUACUAAUUCAAGGGAAAAGAUAACUGUAAGACACAGGUGAAGCUCUGUGACCCACUCAGGUCCUCACUUUGCUUCUUGACUGUGUGCCAGAAAUAAGAGUCUCUCUGUGAGCUCUUGCCCUCAGCCUUUAACUGCUUGCCG